AAAUUGAAGAGUUUGAUCAUGGCUCAGAUUGAACGCUGGCGGCAGGCCUAACACAUGCAAGUCGAGCGGUAGCACAGAGAGCUUGCUCUCGGGUGACGAGCGGCGGACGGGUGA
This 114-nucleotide ribosomal RNA is filed under the name Klebsiella aerogenes. RNAcentral describes it as "partial 16S ribosomal RNA". It matches the Rfam family "Bacterial small subunit ribosomal RNA", at positions 1 to 109 of the family's 1533-position model. The record is from RNAcentral. Lineage: Bacteria; Pseudomonadati; Pseudomonadota; Gammaproteobacteria; Enterobacterales; Enterobacteriaceae. RNAcentral also lists the same sequence under 10 other names.